This 1505-nucleotide ribosomal RNA is filed under the name uncultured prokaryote. RNAcentral's name for it is "partial 16S ribosomal RNA". It matches the Rfam family "Bacterial small subunit ribosomal RNA". The record is from RNAcentral.
AGAGUUUGAUCAUGGCUCAGAUUGAACGCUGGCGGUAUGCUUAACACAUGCAAGUCGAACGGAAACGAUGGUAGCUUGCUACCAGGCGUCAAGUGGCGGACGGGUGAGUAACGCGUAGGAAUCUGCCUAGUAGUGGGGGACAACCAGGGGAAACCCUGGCUAAUACCGCAUAAUCUCUACGGAGAAAAGAGGGCCUCUUCUUGAAAGCUCUUGCUAUUAGAUGAGCCUGCGUGAGAUUAGCUAGUUGGUGAGGUAAAGGCUCACCAAGGCGACGAUCUCUAGCUGGUCUGAGAGGACGAUCAGCCACACUGGGACUGAGACACGGCCCAGACUCCUACGGGAGGCAGCAGUGGGGAAUAUUGGACAAUGGGCGCAAGCCUGAUCCAGCAAUACCGCGUGUGUGAAGAAGGCCUGAGGGUUGUAAAGCACUUUCAAUUGUGAAGAAAAGCCUGAGGUUAAUAACCUCGGGUCUUGACGUUAACUUUAGAAGAAGCACCGGCUAACUCUGUGCCAGCAGCCGCGGUAAUACAGAGGGUGCGAGCGUUAAUCGGAAUUACUGGGCGUAAAGAGUACGUAGGCGGUUUAGUAAGUCAGAUGUGAAAGCCCUGGGCUCAACCCCGGAAGUGCAUUGGAAACUGGGCAACUUGAGUAUGGGAGGGGGAGAUGGAAUUAGUGGUGUAGGGGUAAAAUCCGUAGAUAUCACUAGGAAUACCUAAAGCGAAGGCGAUCUCCUGGAACAUUACUGACGCUAAGGUGUGAAAGCGUGGGGAGCAAACGGGAUUAGAUACCCCGGUAGUCCACGCCCUAAACGAUGUUCACUAGUCGUCGGGAUGCUAGUCAUCUCGGUGAUGCACUUAACAGAUUAAGUGAACCGCCUGGGGAGUACGGUCGCAAGAUUAAAACUCAAAGGAAUAGACGGGGACCCGCACAAGUGGUGGAGCAUGUGGUUUAAUUCGAAAAUACGCGAAGAACCUUACCUAGCCUUGACAUUGAUUGAACGGACCAGAGAUGGACCGGUGCCCUUCGGGGAACAUGAAAACAGGUGCUGCACGGCUGUCGUCAGCUCGUGUCGUGAGAUGUUGGGUUAAGUCCCGCAACGAGCGCAACCCUCGUCUUUAGUUGCCAGCAGGUUAAGCUGGGCACUCUAAAGAGACUGCCUUCGCAAGGAGGAGGAAGGUGAGGACGACGUCAAGUCAUCAUGGCCCUUAUGGCUAGGGCUACACACGUGCUACAAUGGGGCGUACAGAGGGCAGCAAUACCGCGAGGUGGAGCGAAUCCCACAAAGCUUGUCGUAGUCCGGAUCGGAGUCUGCAACUCGACUCCGUGAAGUCGGAAUCGCUAGUAAUCGUAGAUCAGAAUGCUACGGUGAAUACGUUCCCGGGCCUUGUACACACCGCCCGUCACACCAUGGGAGUGGGUUGCAAAAGAAGUGGCUAGUUUAACCUUCGGGAGGACGGUCACCACUUUGUGAUUCAUGACUGGGGUGAAGUCGGAACAAGGUAACC